This 460-nucleotide long non-coding RNA is filed under the name Sorghum bicolor (sorghum). RNAcentral's name for it is "long non-coding RNA (SBIC_LNC015581)". The record is from RNAcentral. Lineage: Eukaryota; Viridiplantae; Streptophyta; Magnoliopsida; Poales; Poaceae.
CCUGGUUUAUUAGGAUUUUUGUUUCUUUCUACCGAAGUCGGGAUGUGCCACUAGAAAGUCCAUAUAGUCUGCUCAACUUCACAAUGUAGAAAAGUUGCAUCAUAUAGACAUCAAUUUAUUAGGUCAGUUUCAUCAGCCUCACAUCCGCGUGUGCAUUUCAGAUGAUAAAGGGAUGCUUCCACUGGGCACGAUGUAGACUCCUACUAAAGCCCGCGUCACAUGUCUCAUGCCUUGGCCUCGAUGGGUUAGGAUGGGAAUUGGCCGCCUUGACCAAUUAGAUAGUUGAUCCGACCCAUGGAAGCAUGAUCAAUGGGUCACAUGGGCUGAUCUUAUAAUAAAAAAUGGCUCGAUAGAGUCAGAACUUAUUAACUGAAUGAGUAAGAUUGGUCGAUAGAAGCAAAUAAGAUUAAUCGAUGUGGUUUUUGGUAAGGUCACGGUAAAUGUGACCAUUAACUGAGGC